CCUACGGGUGGCUGCAGUGGGGAAUAUUGGACAAUGGGGGGAACCCUGAUCCAGCCAUGCCGCGUGUGUGAAGAAGGCCCUCGGGUUGUAAAGCACUUCAGUGAGGAAGAACGGCUGGUGGGUAAUACCCAUCAGGAAAGACAUCACUCACAGAAGAAGCACCGGCUAACUCCGUGCCAGCAGCCGCGGUAAUACGGAGGGUGCGAGCGUUAAUCGGAAUUACUGGGCGUAAAGCGCGCGUAGGUGGCUUGAUAAGCCGGUUGUGAAAGCCCCGGGCUCAACCUGGGAACGGCAUCCGGAACUGUCAAGCUAGAGUGCAGGAGAGGAAGGUAGAAUUCCCGGUGUAGCGGUGAAAUGCGUAGAGAUCGGGAGGAAUACCAGUGGCGAAGGCGGCCUUCUGGACUGACACUGACACUGAGGUGCGAAAGCGUGGGUAGCAAACAGGAUUAGAUACCCCAGUAGUC
Molecule: ribosomal RNA, 464 nt
Filed under: Vreelandella stevensii
Lineage: Bacteria; Pseudomonadati; Pseudomonadota; Gammaproteobacteria; Oceanospirillales; Halomonadaceae
Description: partial 16S ribosomal RNA
Rfam family: Bacterial small subunit ribosomal RNA
Source: RNAcentral